Molecule: long non-coding RNA, 1179 nt
Filed under: Polistes fuscatus (common paper wasp)
Lineage: Eukaryota; Metazoa; Arthropoda; Insecta; Hymenoptera; Vespidae
Description: uncharacterized LOC122522156
Rfam family: Nuclear RNase P (bases 909-1179)
Source: RNAcentral
UGAUUUCUCUCUCUCUCUUUCUCUCUCUCGUUCUCUCCCUCUCUUUCACACUCUUUCUUUUUAUGACGUCAAGUGAAGCGUACGAACAAUAAGCGAAAUCCUCUUGUGCCUGUUAUGAAAAUAUGACGUAUAGACGUUUUAGAAUGUCGAUGAUGGGUUUGGGAUAAAUAAGCUUGACCCGAAUAAUUCUCAUAUUAUUUUUAGGUCGACCGUUCGAUUUUUAUGAACGAAAAGGAAAAUAUUUUCUAACGGUAAUCGUGCCUAUAAUUCCCUUAUUUCACAGACCAUUCAAGUUAACUGUCUUAAUCUAUCCUAAGUUGUAUGCAUAUAUGUAUACAUAGUAACUGUCUAGAGUUUAGGUUAGCGUAACGGUUAGAGUUGUCGCUGCCGCUUACGAAACCGGAUGGAUUCAGGUACUGAUCCAGCUUUAUAUCCUCUAAGGAGGGAUGCUUGUUGGCUUAUCGUGAUUUCUAAAGGGAUCUUUCUUGGGGUUUACAAUGUAUCGUCUACUUAAUUAAAAUAUGAAAGUUACCAACCUUCAAUGAUCUGAAAUUAAGUACAUUAAGUUAGAAGAUUUUGUAUUAUUGAUAUUUUAUUUUGUGCUUGUUCUUUUAUAAUGUUUUUCUUAUUUAACAGUUAAUUAAUUUUAGUUAGUUUAUAAGCUUAAAUUUGAGCUAUGACUUGUUAAUCUUUUGUUAAAAUCCUGACCACAAAAUUAUGGGAAUUGUACCGUGUCAUUUUGAAUAAAUUUAUGCAUAAAUUGUAUUGUGCUCUUUUGACAAUUGGACUAAAAUAUAAGAUUAAUAAAAUACUAUAAAUAAAAUGGACAUAAUAAGAAAGAUAAAAAAUGCCCAAUGAUGAUGAUGAUAAUAAUAUCAAAUGUGAUAUUUGAUGUUGAUAUUAAACCAGCCAGAGUCAAUCUAGCAGAAGGGACACACAAACUGAGGUACAUUUAGUUACUAACGAAAUAUUGUCUCGGGAAGGUCUGAGUAAAGGUCUGAUUUCGAAGGUAUCUUCUUUUUGGAUAUCUUCAAAUAAUUGCUCUAGAAGGGCAGCUCUGCUAUACAGGGCCGAGGAUAACAGAAAUAUUCGACGAUCGAGCUUUUUGUAACCCAGGACGCCAUGUUAUCUCCUUUCGCUUAUAUGUUCCUUUUUCUUUCUUUCCUGGGUAUAUGAUAU